UACGAAGGGGGGCUAGCGUUGCUCGGAAUUACUGGGCGUAAAGGCGCGUAGGCGGAUGUUUAAGUCGGGGGUGAAAGCCCGGGGCUCAACCUCGGAAUUGCCUUCGAUACUGGACAUCUUGAGUACGGGAGAGGUGAGUGGAACUCCGAGUGAGAGGUGAAAUUCGUAGAUAUUCGGAAGAACACCAGUGGCGAAGGCGACUCACUGGCCCGUUACUGACGCUGAGGCGCGAAAGCGUGGGAGCAAACAGG
RNAcentral lists this ribosomal RNA (251 nucleotides) under uncultured bacterium. RNAcentral describes it as "partial 16S ribosomal RNA". It matches the Rfam family "Bacterial small subunit ribosomal RNA", at positions 524 to 776 of the family's 1533-position model. The record is from RNAcentral.